UGGGACAUAGUGUAUUGGUAGCACAGGGAGUUUUGAGUUCUCUAGGUUAGGUUCAAUUCCUAUUGCCCCAG
This 71-nucleotide transfer RNA is filed under the name Proechimys goeldii hyleae. RNAcentral describes it as "tRNA-Gln". It matches the Rfam family "tRNA". From Rfam's summary of the family: Transfer RNA (tRNA) molecules are approximately 80 nucleotides in length. Their secondary structure includes four short double-helical elements and three loops (D, anti-codon, and T loops). Further hydrogen bonds mediate the characteristic L-shaped molecular structure. tRNAs have two regions of fundamental functional importance: the anti-codon, which is responsible for specific mRNA codon recognition, and the 3' end, to which the tRNAs corresponding amino acid is attached (by aminoacyl-tRNA synthetases). tRNAs cope with the degeneracy of the genetic code in two manners: having more than one tRNA (with a specific anti-codon) for a particular amino acid; and 'wobble' base-pairing, i.e. permitting non-standard base-pairing at the 3rd anti-codon position. Lineage: Eukaryota; Metazoa; Chordata; Mammalia; Rodentia; Echimyidae. The record is from RNAcentral.